GUAACAGUCCCUCAACUUUACAAAAUGUGACAAAAAACGGUUAAAUUUAAGUUUCAAAUUUUUGCUUAUCAUUAACGAUAAUUGUUCUCGUCUUUUGUUCACUUUCAUCUGUUUAGUAAUUAUUUGAAUCUUGAGCUUCUGAAUUAGAAAACUCAAGAUAUUCCUGAAUCAUUCUUAAUAAUCACUGAAAUAAUUACAACCGGUUUGGGUUAAAGUGAAAGUUGCCCUGUUUUGGCUUGUGAUAAAUCUUCACUUUUCAGCUUCAACUAUCCUAAAUAUGUAACUGAUUUUGAUUAAAGAUGUCUUUUUCAUGGAACAUACCUGAACUUUCCUGAUAAUCAAUGAUUACCUGUUUCCUUAUUAUUUGAUCUACAGGUCAACAACUGACCCGGCAAUAUAUUUGAGAUCUUGAAUCUAAUGAAAAAUUCUGACGGAUGGUUUCAGUCUCUAUCCCUGGUAAAUCAAGAAAGCCAAUCACAAGCACCGUUCACCUUUUUGAAAUCCAAGUCAUUGUUGAAACUGAAUUGUAAAAUUGAAAUUUGGUUCAAUAAUUAAUUAUUUUGCUUAUAAUUACCAUUUUAUUGCAAGAAUCUUAAUUUUUGAACCUCAUUGUUUCAAUUGAUUUAGCAUAUUACGAUUGUCUUUAUUGGUUACAAUGUGUUCGAUCAUGAUUGAUUGUUUUCAAUUUUACAAUUGAAAUGAGCAUUGCAAAUGAAAGGAUUUACAUCUCAUUGGAAGUAAUUAACUUGAAUUGCGGGUCUAUUUAUUUUACAAGUUAUAUUAGUAAGUCAAUUAACUUUAUCGCUGAUGAUAAGAUGAGUAAAUCAUGAGACAGAUCAGAAAUUUUAUUUCUGUUCUGUCUAUUUCUCAUCAUAUAA
This is a long non-coding RNA of Tetranychus urticae (two-spotted spider mite), 878 nucleotides long. RefSeq lists it as uncharacterized. The record is from RefSeq and is a predicted model, not a curated record. NCBI's taxonomy places the organism in Eukaryota, Metazoa, Arthropoda, Arachnida, Trombidiformes, Tetranychidae.